UACGUAGGGGGCUAGCGUUGUCCGGAAUCAUUGGGCGUAAAGAGCGUGUAGGCGGUCCGGUAAGUCCGCUGUGAAAGUCGGGGGCUCAACCCUCGGAUGCCGGUGGAUACUGUCGGGCUUGAGUACGGAAGAGGCGAGUGGAAUUCCUGGUGUAGCGGUGGAAUGCGCAGAUAUCAGGAGGAACACCUAUAGCGAAGGCAGCUUGCUGGGACGUAACUGACGCUAAGGCGCGAAAGCGUGGGGAGCGAACAGG
RNAcentral lists this ribosomal RNA (253 nucleotides) under uncultured bacterium. Its description in RNAcentral is "partial 16S ribosomal RNA". It matches the Rfam family "Bacterial small subunit ribosomal RNA", at positions 524 to 776 of the family's 1533-position model. The record is from RNAcentral.